AUAAAAAUUCCAAGAACAACACUUUAUUCGUGCAUUUAAAUAUCAUUUCCUCACAUAUAAAAUGGAAGAUUUAAGAAACUCAUACGCAGUCGAAUUCUGAUCCUCCUUGGCCGAAAUCAGUCAAAAAUGGAAGUAAAAUCCAUAUUUGUAUUCAUAUUAACGAUUGGGGUAGUUAACAUGGAAUUUUAUUUUGCCACGCCGUUCUAUUUUGCGCUGAUGUUACCAUCAGCUCCGGGUUUAUCAGCUCCGGAUUUAUCAGCUCCGGAUUUAUCAGCUUCGCAAGAAGUAGAAGAUCUUCAUGGUCAAACAACACCACCGCCAUUUGUCAAUGGAAGCCGACUGACCAUACCGGCCUCGUGGUACAGAUCGGCACCCGCAUCAAGUGUACACCGCUUAUACUACGGACGAGAUAAAAUGUGGCCAUUUUAUAUAGUCCGUGUCCGUCGUGGACAUGGAAACGAAAAUCUGAAAUUUUUAAUUUAACAAAUAUUUGGGCAACAUUA
Spodoptera frugiperda (fall armyworm) is the source of this 503-nucleotide long non-coding RNA. RefSeq lists it as uncharacterized. The transcript is spliced from 2 exons. NCBI's taxonomy places the organism in Eukaryota, Metazoa, Arthropoda, Insecta, Lepidoptera, Noctuidae. The record is from RefSeq and is a predicted model, not a curated record.